This 633-nucleotide ribosomal RNA is filed under the name Fonsecaea pedrosoi. RNAcentral's name for it is "eukaryotic LSU rRNA". The stretch from base 234 to 388 matches the Rfam family "5.8S ribosomal RNA". Lineage: Eukaryota; Fungi; Ascomycota; Eurotiomycetes; Chaetothyriales; Herpotrichiellaceae. The record is from RNAcentral.
UUUUGACUCGAAGGAUCAUAAUGAGUUAGGGUCUCCUAGGCCCGAGACUUCCCAAGCCUUUGUGCUUAUUAGACCUACAGUUUGCUUCAGGCAGGCCCGUCUUAAUCUGACCGCUGGAGGACCGCCUAAUGCGGGUGUUACCUCUGGCCAGUGUCUGCCGAUAGCCUAAUCUCCUAACUCUGGAUCAAUCCUGAUUUUCCAUGUCUAAGUGAUUUUAUUCAAUUAAAAGCAAAAACUUUCAACAACGGAUCUCUUGGUUCUGGCAUCGAUGAAGAACGCAGCGAAAUGCGAUAAGUAAUGCGAAUUGCAGAAUUCCAGUGAGUCAUCGAAUCUUUGAACGCACAUUGCGCCUUUUGGUAUUCCGAAGGGCAUGCCUGUUCGAGCGUCAUUAUCACCCCCUCAAAGCCCCUGUGCUUGGUGUUGGACGGCUUGGUGGAGCGAGUUCACACUUUCCACCCCUCCUAAAAGACAAUGACGGCGGCCUGCGGAACACCCCGGUACACUGAGCUUCUUUAUUGAGCACGUAUCGGCAUGAAGGGUGCCCGGGACCCGGUCUUCUCACCCUUUCACGGGAACACCUCUUUUUCUCUGUGUUAGGGUGAUGGUCUCAUCAGGUACUCGACCUCGCAAAGG